GUGCCAGCCGCCGCGGUAAUACAGAGGGGGCAAGCGUUGUUCGGAAUUACUGGGCGUAAAGGGCGCGUAGGCGGCCGACUAAGUCAGACGUGAAAUCCCAUGGCUCAACCAUGGAACUGCGUCUGAUACUGGAUGGCUUGAGUUCGGGAGAGGGAAGUGGAAUUCCAGGUGUAGCGGUGAAAUGCGUAGAUAUCUGGAGGAACACCGGUGGCGAAGGCGGCUUCCUGGACCGACACUGACGCUGAGGCGCGAAAGCCAGGGGAGCAAACGGGAUUAGAUACCCUCGUAGUCC
RNAcentral lists this ribosomal RNA (292 nucleotides) under uncultured bacterium. Its description in RNAcentral is "partial 16S ribosomal RNA". It matches the Rfam family "Bacterial small subunit ribosomal RNA", at positions 505 to 796 of the family's 1533-position model. The record is from RNAcentral.